Molecule: ribosomal RNA, 250 nt
Filed under: uncultured prokaryote
Description: partial 16S ribosomal RNA
Rfam family: Bacterial small subunit ribosomal RNA
Source: RNAcentral
UACGGAGGAUCCGAGCGUUAUCCGGAUUUAUUGGGUUUAAAGGGAGCAUAGGCGGGAAGUCAAGUCAGUUGUGAAAUGUAGGCGCUCAACGCCUGCACUGCAGUUGAAACUGGUUUUCUUGAGUGCGUAAGGGGCAGGCGGAAUUCGUCGUGUAGCGGUGAAAUGCCUAGAUAUGACGAAGAACUCCGAUCGCGAAGGCAGCUUGCCGGGCUGCAACUGACGCUGAGGCUCGAAGGUGCGGGUAUCGAAC